RNAcentral lists this long non-coding RNA (212 nucleotides) under Phoenix dactylifera (date palm). RNAcentral describes it as "long non-coding RNA (PDAC_LNC015132)". The record is from RNAcentral. Lineage: Eukaryota; Viridiplantae; Streptophyta; Magnoliopsida; Arecales; Arecaceae.
GGGUAUGAACCUGAAUCUGAACCUGAACCCGGGGUGCUAGACACCUCUGCAGGGUCGGCCCUGGGAGAAUAUUAAAAUUUAAGUUUUAUAUAUAUUGUGAUGAAUUUUAAAAGAAAAAUAUGAUUUUUGGAUAUUAGGUUCUGCGAGGAAUUUGUGAAAUUAAUUGGAUUUAUUGUGGAUCGCGUUCAAUGUUAGUAAUGAACUGCCUUCUC